Molecule: long non-coding RNA, 554 nt
Organism: Arachis duranensis
Lineage: Eukaryota; Viridiplantae; Streptophyta; Magnoliopsida; Fabales; Fabaceae
Exons: 2
Source: RefSeq, a predicted model, not a curated record
UGUUUCAAAGAAAACCAUGGUUACCUCUUCAUGUAAUCAAUGAUGUGAUAUGGUGUUGCAAGAGGAAGAGGCCACGAAGCCUUGCAACACCAGCUCACCUCUUCCCACCUUCUGUAGAUAUAUAUAGAUGAGCCAAGUCUCUCAACUUUCUUGAAAACCACACGAAGAGAAGAAAGGAAGCAAGAGUAGUGACCAAGAAGGAGGAAAAGGAAGACCCAGCAGAAAUCAUCAUCAUCUGCGUGCGUCGCCACCAAGAAGAAAGAGAAGGACAUCAAGAGAGCUGCUACCCGAAGCCAAAGAAGGAACCCUACCUCUUUCCUUUUCUGGUUUUCUUAGUGUUCUUCUUGUUGGGGUUUUCUGAUUUAAUAUAGCAAAGGACAGACUUUGGUUUGUGAAAUUUUCAAAGAGAGGUAAGGGAUAGUAUAUAUAGAAUAUCUUGUUUGUAGUUGUGUGUACUGAUGAUGAUGGAUGGUUUAUCAUGUGUUUGAUUGAUGAGAAGUGUUUAUUAAUUUUCUAUUAUGAUGAAAUGUAAAAAAAAAAGUGAAUUAGAAUUA